GGCAGAGUGUAUCCUGGGUUACAGGCAUAGAGAAGCUCAUCACCCAGCUCCAGUCCUGUCUGUCCCUGCAGUUCUAUUCACAAGUCUUGCAAUGUAAACCUACAGUUUAAGUUGUGUGCACGGAUUCCAUCUAUCAAUAAGGCAAGGCAUUUGGAGUCUUCUGUGGAGGAAACGGACUUCAUCUCCCAGGACACCCACGUAAGAAGCUUCCGAGCUGUCUGCCUGCGCGUCUGAGGGACCUCAGUGAGGAACCGUCAUCGAUCCAGCUCGGCAGCUCCGUUCCGCGGCCCAUAUUUCGAGGGGGUGCUGUCACGCAUUCGGAGCCUCCUAUGGACAGAACUCCAUUUCCCAGGAUACUAGGGAAUCUCACGUGACCUAUAAACUCGCACCAACGCUCCUAUCAGCGGUCUCAGU
Long non-coding RNA from Pygocentrus nattereri (red-bellied piranha), 414 nucleotides. RefSeq lists it as uncharacterized. The transcript has 3 exons. The record is from RefSeq and is a predicted model, not a curated record. NCBI's taxonomy places the organism in Eukaryota, Metazoa, Chordata, Actinopteri, Characiformes, Serrasalmidae.